CCAGGACUCAAUGAGAAGAUCAAACCUAAGGAUAAUAGGUAUAGAAGAGAGUGAAGACUCCCAGCUCAAAGGACCAGUAAAUAUCUUCAACAAAAUCAUAGAAGAAAACUUCCCUAACCUAAAAAAAGAGAUACCCAUAGGCAUACAAGAAGCCUACAGAACUCCAAAUAGAUUGGACCAGAAAAGAAACACCUCCCGUCACAUAAUAGUCAAAACACCAAACGCACAAAAUAAGGAAAGA
This 241-nucleotide long non-coding RNA is filed under the name Rattus norvegicus (Norway rat). Its description in RNAcentral is "long non-coding RNA NONRATT022118". Lineage: Eukaryota; Metazoa; Chordata; Mammalia; Rodentia; Muridae. The record is from RNAcentral.